AUCAGUGCCAAUCAUGCCACCCACAAUACCACGCCACCCAUACUACCCACAGGGACCAACCACGCUACCCACAUCAGUGCCAACGACGCCACCCACACCAAUCAUGCCACACACAAUACCACGCCACCCACAUUGAUCACACCAACCACAGCAAUCAUGCCACACACAAUACCACGCCACCUAUACUACCCACAUGGACCAACCACGCUACCCACAUCAGUGCUAAUCAUGCCACCCACAUGGACCAUGCUACCCAUGCCACCCACACCAACCACGCCAACCACAACCCACAACACCCAUGCCACCCACAUCAACCGCACCAACCACGCAGCUUCCCAGGCAGGCUCAGCACCUAUUUCCCGCCUCUCAGUAGCCUGAACAGCUGCCCCUUCCUUAUUCUCCAGUUGGCUCUGAU
This 415-nucleotide long non-coding RNA is filed under the name Homo sapiens (human). RNAcentral describes it as "HSALNT0170478". Lineage: Eukaryota; Metazoa; Chordata; Mammalia; Primates; Hominidae. The record is from RNAcentral.